GGGAGGAGCCCAGAGCCUGAAUCAGUGUGUGUGUUAGUGGAAGCGUCUGGAAAGGCGCGCGAUACAGGGUGACAGCCCCGUACACAAAAAUGCACAUACUGUGAGCUCGAUGAGUAGGGCGGGACACGUGGUAUCCUGUCUGAAUAUGGGGGGACCAUCCUCCAAGGCUAAAUACUCCUGACUGACCGAUAGUGAACCAGUACCGUGAGGGAAAGGCGAAAAGAACCCCGGCGAGGGGAGUGAAAAAGAACCUGAAACCGUGUACGUACAAGCAGUGGGAGCCUCUUAAUGGGGUGACUGCGUACCUUUUGUAUAAUGGGUCAGCGACUUAUAUUCUGUAGCAAGGUUAACCGAAUAGGGGAGCCGAAGGGAAACCGAGUCUUAACUGGGCGUUAAGUUGCAGGGUAUAGACCCGAAACCCGGUGAUCUAGCCAUGGGCAGGUUGAAGGUUGGGUAACACUAACUGGAGGACCGAACCGACUAAUGUUGAAAAAUUAGCGGAUGACUUGUGGCUGGGGGUGAAAGGCCAAUCAAACCGGGAGAUAGCUGGUUCUCCCCGAAAGCUAUUUAGGUAGCGCCUCGUGAAUUCAUCUCCGGGGGUAGAGCACUGUUUCGGCAAGGGGGUCAUCCCGACUUACCAACCCGAUGCAAACUGCGAAUACCGGAGAAUGUUAUCACGGGAGACACACGGCGGGUGCUAACGUCCGUCGUGAAGAGGGAAACAACCCAGACCGCCAGCUAAGGUCCCAAAGUCAUGGUUAAGUGGGAAACGAUGUGGGAAGGCCCAGACAGCCAGGAUGUUGGCUUAGAAGCAGCCAUCAUUUAAAGAAAGCGUAAUAGCUCACUGGUCGAGUCGGCCUGCGCGGAAGAUGUAACGGGGCUAAACCAUGCACCGAAGCUGCGGCAGCGACACUAUGUGUUGUUGGGUAGGGGAGCG
RNAcentral lists this ribosomal RNA (937 nucleotides) under Escherichia coli. Its description in RNAcentral is "partial 23S ribosomal RNA". It matches the Rfam family "Bacterial large subunit ribosomal RNA", at positions 290 to 1238 of the family's 2925-position model. Lineage: Bacteria; Pseudomonadati; Pseudomonadota; Gammaproteobacteria; Enterobacterales; Enterobacteriaceae. The record is from RNAcentral.